This 762-nucleotide ribosomal RNA is filed under the name uncultured bacterium. Its description in RNAcentral is "bacterial SSU rRNA". It matches the Rfam family "Bacterial small subunit ribosomal RNA", at positions 8 to 760 of the family's 1533-position model. The record is from RNAcentral.
AGAGUUUGAUCAUGGCUCAGAUUGAACGCUGGCGGCAGGCCUAACACAUGCAAGUCGAGCGGUAACACAGGGAGCUUGCUCCUGGGUGACGAGCGGCGGACGGGUGAGUAAUGUCUGGGAAACUGCCUGAUGGAGGGGGAUAACUACUGGAAACGGUAGCUAAUACCGCAUAACGUCGCAAGACCAAAGAGGGGGACCUUCGGGCCUCUUGCCAUCAGAUGUGCCCAGAUGGGAUUAGCUAGUAGGUGGGGUAACGGCUCACCUAGGCGACGAUCCCUAGCUGGUCUGAGAGGAUGACCAGCCACACUGGAACUGAGACACGGUCUAGACUCCUACGGGAGCCAGCAGUGGGGAAUAUUGCACAAUGGGCGCAAGCCUGAUGCAGCCAUGCCGCGUGUAUGAAGAAGGCCUUCGGGUUGUAAAGUACUUUCAGCGGGGAGGAAGGUGUUGAGGUUAAUAACCUCAGCAAUUGACGUUACCCGCAGAAGAAGCACCGGCUAACUCCGUGCCAGCAGCCGCGGUAAUACGGAGGGUGCAAGCGUUAAUCGGAAUUACUGGGCGUAAAGCGCACGCAGGCGGUCUGUCAAGUCGGAUGUGAAAUCCCCGGGCUCAACCUGGGAACUGCAUUCGAAACUGGCAGGCUAGAGUCUUGUAGAGGGGGGUAGAAUUCCAGGUGUAGCGGUGAAAUGCGUAGAGAUCUGGAGGAAUACCGGUGGCGAAGGCGGCCCCCUGGACAAAGACUGACGCUUCAGGUGCGAAAGC